GGCGGAUGUAGCCAAGUGAAUCAAGGCAGU
RNAcentral lists this transfer RNA (30 nucleotides) under Helianthus petiolaris. RNAcentral describes it as "partial tRNA-His". Lineage: Eukaryota; Viridiplantae; Streptophyta; Magnoliopsida; Asterales; Asteraceae. RNAcentral also lists the same sequence under 12 other names. The record is from RNAcentral.